Molecule: long non-coding RNA, 406 nt
Filed under: Mytilus galloprovincialis (Mediterranean mussel)
Lineage: Eukaryota; Metazoa; Mollusca; Bivalvia; Mytilida; Mytilidae
Source: RNAcentral
GUCCAUAUCUCAGAUACUAUAAGCAAUAGGGCUAGUAUAUUCGGUGUAUGGAUGGACUGUAAGGUGUACAUGUCCAACUGGCAGGUGUCAUCUGACCUUGACCUCAUUUUCAUGGUUCAGUGGUUAUAGUUAAAUUUUUGUGUUUUGGUCUGUUUUUCUCAUACCAUAUGCAAUAGGUCUACUAUAUUUGUUGUAUGGAAUGAUUGUUAAGUGUACAUGUCUAGCGGGCAGAUGUCAUGUGACCUUGACCUCAUUUUCAUGGUUCAGUGGUCAAAGUUCAGUUUUUGAGUUUUGGUCUUUUUAUCUAAUGCUAUAUGCCAUAGGUCAACUAUAUUUGGUGUAUGGAAAUAUUUUAUGAUCUUUAUGUCAGUCGAGCAGGUUUUAUUUAACCGGGACCUCCUUUUCA